This 464-nucleotide ribosomal RNA is filed under the name uncultured bacterium. Its description in RNAcentral is "partial 16S ribosomal RNA". It matches the Rfam family "Bacterial small subunit ribosomal RNA", at positions 28 to 506 of the family's 1533-position model. The record is from RNAcentral.
GACGAACGCUGGCGGCGUGCUUAACACAUGCAAGUCGAGCGGUAAGGCCCCUUCGGGGGUACACGAGCGGCGAACGGGUGAGUAACACGUGAGCAAUCUGCCCAUCACAUCGGGAUAACUCCGGGAAACCGAAGCUAAUACCGAAUACGACCACCUCCGGCAUCGGAUGGUGGUGGAAAGUUCCGGCGGUGAUGGAUGAGCUCGCGGCCUAUCAGCUUGUUGGUGGGGUAACGGCCCACCAAGGCUUCGACGGGUAGCCGGCCUGAGAGGGUGACCGGCCACACUGGGACUGAGACACGGCCCAGACUCCUACGGGAGGCAACAGUGGGGAAUAUUGGACAAUGGGCGAAAGCCUGAUCCAGCAACGCCGCGUGAGGGAUGACGGCCUUCGGGUUGUAAACCUCUUUCAGCAGGGACGAAGCGCAAGUGACGGUACCUGCAGAAGAAGCACCGGCCAACUACGU